AGUCGAGCGAGAAAGUCCCCUUCGGGGGGCGAGUCAGCGGCGGACGGGUGAGUAACGCGUGGACGACCUACCCAAAUGGUCGGGAUAACCUUGCGAAAGCGGGGCUAAUACCGGAUAGUCCUGGUUUAUUGAGAAUAUGCCGGGUAAAGGUGGCCUCUGAUUCAAGCUAUCGUCUUUGGAUGGGUCCGCGUCCCAUUAGCUUGUUGGUAGGGUAACGGCCUACCAAGGCGACGAUGGGUAGCUGGUCUGAGAGGAUGAUCAGCCACACUGGGACUGGAACACGGCCCAGACUCCUACGGGAGGCAGCAGUGGGGAAUAUUGGGCAAUGGGCGCAAGCCUGACCCAGCAACGCCGCGUGAGGGAAGAAGGUCUUCGGAUCGUAAACCUCAGUCAGGAGGGAAGAAGUGGGUUGUCCUGAACAGGGACGAUCUUUGACGGUACCUCCAGAGGAAGCACCGGCCAACUCCGUGCCAGCAGCCGCGGUAAUACGGAGGGUGCAAGCGUUAUUCGGAAUCACUGGGCGUAAAGCGCACGUAGGCGGCUUUGCAAGUCAGGUGUGAAAGCCCUCGGCUCAACCGAGGAAUGCCUUGAAACUGCAGAGCUGGAGUUCGGGAGAGGUGGCGGAAUUCCCCGUGUAGGAGUGAAAUCCGUAGAUAUCUGGAGGAACACCAGAGGCGAAAGCGGNCACCUGGACCGAAACUGACGCUGAGGUGCGAAAGCGUGGGGAGCA
This 730-nucleotide ribosomal RNA is filed under the name uncultured organism. RNAcentral's name for it is "bacterial SSU rRNA". It matches the Rfam family "Bacterial small subunit ribosomal RNA", at positions 60 to 770 of the family's 1533-position model. The record is from RNAcentral.